This is a non-coding RNA of Oncorhynchus mykiss (rainbow trout), 1272 nucleotides long. The record is from RefSeq and is a predicted model, not a curated record. NCBI's taxonomy places the organism in Eukaryota, Metazoa, Chordata, Actinopteri, Salmoniformes, Salmonidae.
CUAGAUUCAGUUCAUGUCUUCUAUCAUUUAUUUCAGCAGGUAAAGUGUGAACAUUCUGUUGUUGCAGGAGUGGUAAAACUUUGACCCUUGGGUUUUAUUGAUGUUAUCACAUCCCGGAAAAAUCUUGACAUCACCUUGGACUACAGUCUUGCCACAGAUCACCUGAAACAGCAAUAUUUGAUUCAUAACUUCCUCAGUGGGGUGUGAUAACAUCACGUGUCGUGAGAGUCUCCUUAACCCCGGCUGAGUUGAGAUGGAAGUGAGUCGGACCAGUCUCUCUAGGGAGAAGCCAGAGGAGUAUCAGCGAAGGAUCAUGGGAGAUAGAGUCCAAAUCGAGGCAUGCUACAGAAAUGAACUGGUCAGAGCUGCACAGAGCACUGCUGUUUUCCAGAAACCUACAGUGGUGCGGACCAAUGAGGUGGAGGAGAGGGAGCGCUACAGAUACCAGUGGAGGAAGGAGGACAGGCAGAGAAUCGUCGGUGACAGAUUGGAGCUCUUCGUCGCCAUAGGGACGGGGUUGUUGAUGGGGGUUCUGACAGGUGGUUUUGGAGGUGUUGUCAUGGGAGGGUUGACAGGGGCAGUGAUAUGGUUUACAACAGGACUGGUUAGGAACUGGUGGAGCCCCUGAUUCACUGGGAGACACCAUGUGUCGGCUAUGGAUCUACUUUUAUAAAGACAUUUGGAGGAUAAAACAAUUUGAACAUGUAUAGAUAGAAGGGCUUAAGUCUUGGUCUUGUUUCUUGAUGCAUUUAUCCAACUUUAAUUAUGAAUAAUUUGGAACUGAAUAAAAGCCCAAUAAAGAGAUAAGAAACAGAGAAUAUAUUGAUUAUUUUUAAAGAGAGAUGAAACCCUCAUAUUCAUCACCAGUGUUAACCUACAGUACUUCUGUGAAGUCAGUCCUGAUAUGGGUCUGAACCUGUUACUCAUGAACAAAUUAAAACAGAGAUUCUUCCAGAAAUAUCGUUCCCUGAUUUCAUCUGACCAAGUAUUCAGAUAUUGUGUGACAGUAGUUAUGGCCAGGCCAAUGAAAGACCUUCAUCCUACCCUGUAAAAUCCUUACAAAUAACAGCAACAAGAGCUAGUGACUCGAUCACCAAAUAUACAUGAUCAAUGAAUAGUUUACGUAAACAAACAUAGGGAUCCUACUAGAACCCCGAUCCAGCGACUGUCAACCCAACACAGUUUGGCCAAGAUCACAGUCUGUAUCCAGAAAGGACCUCAGAGUAGGAGUACUGAUCUAGGAUCUGUCCAUAUAAUCAUUAUGAUCGAAAC